This 618-nucleotide long non-coding RNA is filed under the name Pelobates cultripes (western spadefoot toad). The record is from RNAcentral. Lineage: Eukaryota; Metazoa; Chordata; Amphibia; Anura; Pelobatidae.
GGUUUCCUGGUUAACACAGGUGCAUCCCGCAGUGUUCCUAGAGAACAAGACCUGCCUGACUCAUCGUUCCUGCCUGACACCGAUGUCUCUUGUGUUGGUGCUGAUGUCCUAUCCCGCCUCCAAGCAUCCAUUCCCCUCACUGCAGACGGCCAGGUUCAAUUGAAUACACCUUUGUCACGAAAAGACACUACAGUUCUUUGUUCCCUUCCCAUUUUACUGUGGAGAUGAUCUACCCACAACAGAACAAUGCUCAAUUAAUCUUCUUUACUAUGUAGCAGAACAAGGAUGUGAAGCUUCACGUCUCAAGCUGCAAUUCUGCCAACCUACUGUUAUCUUCCUUGGCCAUUGUCUGUCUCAGGGAACCAGACAUCUCACUCGUGACCGAGUUAGAGCAGUACUGGACAUUCCACCUCCAAGGACCUCAAAGUCACUACACGCCUUCCUAGGCCUCAUUUCCUAUUGCCGAGCAUGGAUCCCUGAAGCCUCGCUCCUUAUGCAACCUCUUUAUGAUGCUCUCAAGUCAGACCCAUUUUGCUUAUCCACAGAAGCCCUUGACAACUUCUGUUCUCUCAAACGUGCUAUUGCUUCUGCUCCUGCUCUUGGCCUACCAGACUAUAC